This 253-nucleotide ribosomal RNA is filed under the name uncultured bacterium. Its description in RNAcentral is "partial 16S ribosomal RNA". It matches the Rfam family "Bacterial small subunit ribosomal RNA", at positions 524 to 776 of the family's 1533-position model. The record is from RNAcentral.
GACGUAGGGCGCAAGCGUUGUCCGGAUUUAUUGGGCGUAAAGAGCUCGUAGGCGGCUUGUCGCGUCGACUGUGAAAAACCACGACUCAACCGUGGGACUGCAGUCGAUACGGGCAGGCUAGAGUUCGGUAGGGGGAGACUGGAAUUCCUGGUGUAGCGGUGAAAUGCGCAGAUAUCAGGAGGAACACCGGUGGCGAAGGCGGGUCUCUGGGCCGAUACUGACGUGAGGAGCGAAAGCGUGGGGAGCGAACAGG